RNAcentral lists this ribosomal RNA (444 nucleotides) under uncultured bacterium. Its description in RNAcentral is "SSU rRNA". It matches the Rfam family "Bacterial small subunit ribosomal RNA", at positions 26 to 518 of the family's 1533-position model. The record is from RNAcentral.
AGAGCGAACGCUGGCGGCAGGCCUAACACAUGCAAGUCGAGCGCCCCGCAAGGGGAGCGGCAGACGGGAGAGUAACACGUGGGAACGUACCCUUCAGUUCGGAACAACCCAGGGAAACUUGGGCUAAUACCGAAUACGUCCGUAAGGAGAAAGAUUUAUCGCUGAAGGAUCGGCCCGCGUCUGAUUAGCUUGUUGGUGAGGUAAUGGCUCACCAAGGCUACGAUCAGUAGCUGGUCUGAGAGGAUGAUCAGCCUCACUGGGACUGAGACACGGCCCAGACUCCUACGGGAGGCAGCAGUGGGGAAUAUUGGACAAUGGGCGCAAGCCUGAUCCAGCCAUGCCGCGUGGGUGAUGAAGGCCCUAGGGUUCGUAAAGCCCUUUCGGCGGGGAAGAUAAUGACGGUACCCGCAGAAGACGCCCGGCUAACUUCGCGCCAGCAGCCGC